RNAcentral lists this ribosomal RNA (250 nucleotides) under uncultured bacterium. RNAcentral's name for it is "partial 16S ribosomal RNA". It matches the Rfam family "Bacterial small subunit ribosomal RNA", at positions 524 to 773 of the family's 1533-position model. The record is from RNAcentral.
UACGGAGGGUGCAAGCGUUAUCCGGAUUUACUGGGUUUAAAGGGUGCGUAGGCGGGCCUUUAAGUCAGUGGUGAAAGCUCCGAGCUUAACUCGGAAACUGCCAUUGAUACUAUUGGUCUUGAAUUCGGUCGAGGUUGGCGGAAUGUGUCGUGUAGCGGUGAAAUGCUUAGAUAUGACACAGAACACCGAUUGCGAAGGCAGCUAGCUAGACCGACAUUGACGCUGAGGCACGAAAGCGUGGGGAUCAAAC